AUUGAACGCUGGCGGCAUGCUUUACACAUGCAAGUCGAACGGCAGCGCGGGCUUCGGCCUGGCGGCGAGUGGCGAACGGGUGAGUAAUACAUCGGAACGUGCCCAGUAGUGGGGGAUAGCUCGGCGAAAGCCGGAUUAAUACCGCAUACGACCUGAGGGUGAAAGCGGGGGAUCUUCGGACCUCGCGCUAUUGGAGCGGCCGAUGGCGGAUUAGCUAGUUGGUGGGGUAAAGGCCUACCAAGGCGACGAUCUGUAGCUGGUCUGAGAGGACGACCAGCCACACUGGGACUGAGACACGGCCCAGACUCCUACGGGAGGCAGCAGUGGGGAAAUUUGGACAAUGGGCGAAAGCCUGAUCCAGCAAUGCCGCGUGUGUGAUGAAGGCCUUCGGGUUGUAAAGCACUUUUGGCGGGAACGAAAAGGACUGUGCCAAUACCACGGUUCGAUGACGGUACCCGCAGAAUAAGCACCGGCUAACUACGUG
This 484-nucleotide ribosomal RNA is filed under the name uncultured bacterium. RNAcentral's name for it is "partial 16S ribosomal RNA". It matches the Rfam family "Bacterial small subunit ribosomal RNA", at positions 29 to 507 of the family's 1533-position model. The record is from RNAcentral.